RNAcentral lists this long non-coding RNA (237 nucleotides) under Pelobates cultripes (western spadefoot toad). Lineage: Eukaryota; Metazoa; Chordata; Amphibia; Anura; Pelobatidae. The record is from RNAcentral.
AUCUGCCAUUUGAGUGCCCAGUAUCCCAGUCUAUCUAAAUCCCUCUGCAGCAAAGUAAUAUCUUGCUCACAUUGUUUUGUUUUACAGAGUUUUGUGUCAUCUGCAAACACUGAAACAUGACUUUCAAUGCUGUCUUCAAGAUCAUUUAUAAACAUGUUAAAUAGAAGGGGUCCCAGAACAGACCCCUGAGGGACACCACUUGCCACCUCUGUCCAGCUUGAAAAUUUACCAUUAAUG